GUAAAUAACUAGGGGCGCCAAUUGGCUGAGAAGAACCCUUUGAACCUGAGAUGGAUAAUGCCAGCGGAGGAAAGUGAAUUGUGUGAUGC
Molecule: non-coding RNA, 89 nt
Filed under: Leuconostoc mesenteroides
Lineage: Bacteria; Bacillati; Bacillota; Bacilli; Lactobacillales; Lactobacillaceae
Description: TPP sequence
Rfam family: TPP riboswitch aptamer (THI element)
About the family: Vitamin B(1) in its active form thiamin pyrophosphate (TPP) is an essential coenzyme that is synthesised by coupling of pyrimidine and thiazole moieties in bacteria.
Source: RNAcentral